RNAcentral lists this unclassified non-coding RNA (388 nucleotides) under soil metagenome. RNAcentral describes it as "partial contains 5.8S ribosomal RNA, internal transcribed spacer 2, and large subunit ribosomal RNA". The stretch from base 1 to 120 matches the Rfam family "5.8S ribosomal RNA", at positions 35 to 154 of the family's 154-position model. The record is from RNAcentral.
GAUGAAGAACGUAGCGAAACGCGAUAGUUAAUGUGAAUUGCAGAAUUCAGUGAAUCAUCGAGUCUUUGAACGCACAUUGCGCCCUUUGGUAUUCCGAAGGGCAUGUCUGUUUGAGCGUCAUUACAAUACUUCGUUUGACAAUUUUUUUGUCACACGGUUAUGAGCGAUGUUGGUGCACUGGUUAAACGGCCCGUCGCACGCUGCGCUUUAAAGCUAUUGUUAGAAUGCUCUGCUAGCCGGACUUUGAAAACUUUACGUAGUAGUAACAACAAACCGUUCAGUUGGAAAGAGGACGCUUGGCCUGAAAAAUAACGGCCUACCUCUCUAGGUUUGACCUCAGAUCAGACAAGGAUACCCGCUGAACCUAAGCAUAUCAAUAAGCGGAGGA